Molecule: ribosomal RNA, 253 nt
Filed under: uncultured bacterium
Lineage: Bacteria
Description: partial 16S ribosomal RNA
Rfam family: Bacterial small subunit ribosomal RNA
Source: RNAcentral
UACGUAGGGUGCGAGCGUUGUCCGGAAUUAUUGGGCGUAAAGAGCUCGUAGGCGGUUUGUCGCGUCUGCUGUGAAAACCGGAGGCUCAACCUCCGGCCUGCAGUGGGUACGGGCAGACUAGAGUGCGGUAGGGGAGAUUGGAAUUCCUGGUGUAGCGGUGGAAUGCGCAGAUAUCAGGAGGAACACCGAUGGCGAAGGCAGAUCUCUGGGCCGUAACUGACGCUGAGGAGCGAAAGCAUGGGGAGCGAACAGG